AGCGAACGCUGGCGGCAGGCCUAACACAUGCAAGUCGAACGGAUCCUUCGGGAUUAGUGGCGGACGGGUGUGUAACACGUGGGAACGUGCCCUUUGGUUCGGAACAACUCAGGGAAACUUGAGCUAAUACCGGAUGUGCCCUUCGGGGGAAAGAUUUAUCGCCAUUGGAGCGGCCCGCGUCUGAUUAGCUAGUUGGUGAGGUAACGGCCCACCAAGGCGACGAUCAGUAGCUGGUCUGAGAGGAUGAUCAGCCACACUGGGACUGGGACACGGCCCAGACUCCUACGGGAGGCAGCAGUGGGGAAUCUUGCGCAAUGGGCGAAAGCAUGACGCAGCCAUGCCGCGUGAAUGAUGAAGGUCUUAGGAUUGUAAAAUUCUUUCAGCGGGGACGAUAAUGACGGUACCCGCAGAAGAAGCUCCGGCUAACUUCGUG
RNAcentral lists this ribosomal RNA (433 nucleotides) under uncultured bacterium. RNAcentral describes it as "partial 16S ribosomal RNA". It matches the Rfam family "Bacterial small subunit ribosomal RNA", at positions 29 to 507 of the family's 1533-position model. The record is from RNAcentral.